AGUGAACGCUGGCGGUAGGCCUAACACAUGCAAGUCGAACGGCAGCACAGUAAGAGCUUGCUCUUACGGGUGGCGAGUGGCGGACGGGUGAGGAAUACAUCGGACUCUACUUUUUCGUGGGGGAUAACGUAGGGAAACUUACGCUAAUACCGCAUACGACCUUCGGUUGAAAGCAUUGGAUCUUCGGACCUUGCGCGAUUGAAUGAGCCGAUGUCGGAUUAGCUAGUUGGCGGGGUAAAGGCCCACCAAGGCGACGAUCCGUAGCUGGUCUGAGAGGAUGAUAAGCCAAACUGGAACUGAGACACGGUCCAGACUACUACGGGAGGCAGCAGUGGGGAAUAUUGGACAAUGGGCGCAAGCCUGAUCCAGCCAGACCGCGUGGGUGAAGAAGGCCUUCGGGUUGUAAAGCCCUUUUGUGGGGAAAGAAAAGCAGCAGGUUAAUACCCCGCUGUUCUGACGGUACCCAAAGAAUAAGCACCGGCUAACUUCGUG
This 492-nucleotide ribosomal RNA is filed under the name uncultured bacterium. Its description in RNAcentral is "partial 16S ribosomal RNA". It matches the Rfam family "Bacterial small subunit ribosomal RNA", at positions 29 to 507 of the family's 1533-position model. The record is from RNAcentral.